GAAAGAGGACACAUACAGUCAUGUCAUUAAACUUGGCAGUAUUAGUUCAGGAGUAUUAGUUCAGGAAGGAUUCCUACCUGAAAUAGGCCUUGAUAGAUAAAGCAGCUUUAAAAAUGGUCCGAGAUAGAAUCUUCUCUGUAUUUCUCCCAGUAAACCUCGUUGUUGGAGGCUCUUUUUAUAUACAGAAGUACAGUGUACACAUUUUGUCCUAUCUCUACCAGCAGCUUAUUAGAGGAACAGCUCCUUACUGUGUCAGUUCUUCCACUGUUUUACUCAGAGGAAAGUUUUCACUGAGAAAGGAAGUUAAACCUGACUCUAAACCCCUGUAUACAUGAUGCUAAUUCUCCUUUUAAAUCAAUGGGAGUUAGAAAAAACUACCCAAACCAAGAGCAGGAUUGAUCAGCUGUUUUGCUGUUUGUUGUUGUUGCUUUUUUAUUGCUUACAAAUCCCACAAAAAUAUGCAAUCCUGACUUUUUCACAGCAGACUUCCUCACUAGGUCAGACCUGCUCCUGUUAUUGCACGCAGCUAUUAACGCAUCCAGUUGCUGCUUUAUUGCUGCAGGAGCAAGGCGUUCUCUCCAGAGCCCUGUUGGCACUGUUCACACCCAAAGCCAGAACAUUAGCUCUCCUUAAAAACUUUGCUAGCACCCUCCUUGUGCAGGAGGACAAGCUUUACAGCCCAGAAAGCAUGCUCAGUACCUGCAGAAAGCAUGAGGACAGCUUUCAGGCAGACAAGGCUCUGCCUCCUGCCCAGCAGGUGUACCUUGUCAGGUCCUUCCACCUCGAUGGGCUUUGCCUGCCUCACCUGGGAGCUGGGAGCAGAACUAGCAGCCCUGGUCAGCAGAGCUGUUUCUCUCAGCUUCCUGUAUCACACACGACAGGAGGAGCUGAGCUGCCAGGUUGGCAGCCUCCACCAGAACCAUGUCCCCUUUACAACUCACAUCUGGAGGAGCAACUGGAAAUCAGACCCUGUGGGACGUCAGCAUCAUUAGAGAUGAAGCUAAGCUACAGGUUUAGAAUCCAAAUCUGAGUUCAUUUCCAAGCUGAAGAACCACGGACUCAUUUCAUUGUUUUAUAGAAACAAAAAGCCAUGAGGUUUUGAUCUGCAUCAGAAAACUCUGCAUGUUCAGAACCUGGCUUUGGUCUGGGCCCCAUGCCUGCCUGUAACAGCUGGUUAUAAAGUGAUUACUCAGCAUCGCUUGUCCGGUUCAUUCAUUUUGCAGCCUCUGUACUACUUGUGUGCUGUCAUGUAUAUUUGGCAUCCUUUACCUGUUUUUUAUCCACAAUCAAGUAAAGUAAAACACUUUUUUUUUUUUUUUUUUGCUUUCAAACAGAGGAGCCAAAUUGCUGGAUGGCAGGGGCACAGACGGGAAUCACCUCAAACAUUUCAGUUCCUCAUCUCUGGCAACCAGGGAGCCAAAAACAUAGAGGUUUU
This 1435-nucleotide long non-coding RNA is filed under the name Phasianus colchicus (ring-necked pheasant). RNAcentral describes it as "lncRNA (ENSPCLG00000003840.1)". Lineage: Eukaryota; Metazoa; Chordata; Aves; Galliformes; Phasianidae. The record is from RNAcentral.